UCUGUAAGCCUGUGAAGGUGUGUCGUGAGGCAUGCUGGAGGUAUCAGAAGUGCGAAUGCUGACAUAAGUAACGAUAAAGCGGGUGAAAAGCCCGCUCGCCGGAAGACCAAGGGUUCCUGUCCAACGUUAAUCGGGGCAGGGUGAGUCGACCCCUAAGGCGAGGCCGAAAGGCGUAGUCGAUGGGAAACGGGUUAAUAUUCCCGUACUUGGUGUUACUGCGAAGGGGGGACGGAGAAGGCUAUGUUGGCCGGGCGACGGUUGUCCCGGUUUAAGCGUGUAGGUGUGUGUUCCAGGUAAAUCCGGUUCACUUUAACACUGAGGCGUGACGACGAGGCACUACGGUGCUGAAGCAACAAAUGCCCUGCUUCCAGGAAAAGCCUCUAAGCAUCAGGUAACAUCAAAUCGUACCCCAAACCGACACAGGUGGUCAGGUAGAGAAUACCAAGGCGCUUGAGAGAACUCGGGUGAAGGAACUAGGCAAAAUGGUGCCGUAACUUCGGGAGAAGGCACGCUGACACGUAGGUGAAGUGAUUUACUCAUGGAGCUGAAGUCAGUCGAAGAUACCAGCUGGCUGCAACUGUUUAUUAAAAACACAGCACUGUGCAAACACGAAAGUGGACGUAUACGGUGUGACGCCUGCCCGGUGCCGGAAGGUUAAUUGAUGGGGUCAGCGCAAGCGAAGCUCCUGAUCGAAGCCCCGGUAAACGGCGGCCGUAACUAUAACGGUCCUAAGGUAGCGAAAUUCCUUGUCGGGUAAGUUCCGACCUGCACGAAUGGCGUAAUGAUGGCCAGGCUGUCUCCACCCGAGACUCAGUGAAAUUGAACUCGCUGUGAAGAUGCAGUGUACCCGCGGCAAGACGGAAAGACCCCGUGAACCUUUACUAUAGCUUGACACUGAACAUUGAGCCUUGAUGUGUAG
Molecule: ribosomal RNA, 919 nt
Filed under: Salmonella enterica
Lineage: Bacteria; Pseudomonadati; Pseudomonadota; Gammaproteobacteria; Enterobacterales; Enterobacteriaceae
Description: partial 23S ribosomal RNA
Rfam family: Bacterial large subunit ribosomal RNA
Source: RNAcentral